GUCACUUUCUGUGUGGGGUCCAGCCUGAGGAUGCUUUCCACCCUCAGCCCAUGUGAUGAGACUUCCUGUGUACCAUCAUCAAAGCUUCCCCCGGCAGCAGCAGCAGCACUGAAGGCCAGUCUACUCACUUCCUGCCCGUAUCAGAUCCCAGCUGGGUUGGAGAUCUAAAUUGACAUAAGAUAAAUUAACUGGACAAAACCAUACAGAUGUAUUUAAUACAAGUGUUAUGCAGCAUGGGAGCCCUCAUAAAGAAAUGAAGAACCAAAGAAGCAGUUAGAAUCACUUACACUCUGGAAACUACCUUUCUACACUCUAUUUCUUAAAGAUUGACUCUUCUCGAUUCCACAUAUAGACAUUCUACAUUAUCUUAUUUUUAGAUGUGUCUCUUACACAGAGCACGUAGUCGGAUUUCGUUUUGGGGAGACAGUCAUUUUUUCACAUGUACCAUUUCCCAAGUAAUAAGCUAAAUAUAGUUCUUGAUAGACAACAACCACGAAGCCAUGGACGUCCAAGAUACAUCAACGUCUAAACUCACACGUAGACUGGGAAGUGCACAGCCCGAUUCCCUCCUGGAUCAAGAUAGACAACUAGAUGUUUUUAAUCCACUGUGAACUGGGUUGUCAGCCGCUCAAAGCCGAGGUGGUGAGUCCUGCUAGUUGAACCCCUGCAGAAUGAAUCUCCCACAAAAGACAGGGUUGACCUUCUCUCCGUGAUCUUCAUGGGAGCCCUCAGAGAAUUUAGAAACGUAAUAGUCCCAAAGACAAAGAAUAUGGGAAUCGCUUUCGGAUACCACCCUUCAGAGUUCCUGAACCUUCAUCAGCUGGCACGUUUCCACAUCUGCAUCCGAGCUGUACGCUAGACCACGGGCUUCUCAAAGGCAUGACCAGAGCCAUAUCCAUCUUUAUCACCCCAGAGCCCAGGACAAAGCCAAUCAGGAAAGAAUUGAUGCCCAGAUAAUACCUAGUGAAGAACAAAUUAAUAAAUGGUUCCUUUCAUAAAAUAAUAUUCUUCAACUCUCUAAGGACAGGGAUUCUAGUUUGGUGAUAAAUAAAUUACUUAAUUGGACUUGGUUCCUGUUAAAAGGGUAAGAACUGAAUUCAGGCAGGAAGUGAAGAUGUGUGCUGGAGACACUCCUGAUGUCCUGAAGGCGGAGGAACGGCAAGGAUGGCUCUGGGUUCAGCCAGGCUGGGAUGAGCAGUGGCACACGCUUGCCGGUGGACAUACCUCUCUGAGCACUCCGAAAGUCUGGCCAGUGUGGUGACCAGCUGGCUCCUGUCUGUGUCCAGGCCAAGCGCCAGGAACUCAGGCCUGAGAACGAGGCUGUUAUUUAGUACUCAAACGGGAACUCAGCAACCAUGGGCUGUCUUUACCAUCCAUAACAAUCUACUGCUGUGUCUAUUUCCAACAAAGCACAAAAAGACGUGUGUCUGGUGGAGAGGACCGAGUCUCGGUUGUAUUAGAGUGUCAUCCCUCUGAUCAAAUGGUCAUUGUGUUUGCUUAGAUCCAGAGACAUGGGAGCUCAGAGUCAAACACGGGUUAUCUUCUAGGUGGUGGCAUUUCACAAUCACGUGAUGAGGGGAAUUACUCGGACCAUCCAAGCCUCAGUUUUCUUACCUACGGAACAUGAUGGCAGGUUCUAGUCUGCAGGGACAGGCGGCUCAUGCAGAUGAAGAGUUGUGCUGGCGUCACCUAGGAACUCAGUAAAUACCCACUGCUUUCCUGCAAGGCUGGACUAGGGGAGGCUCGAGAAGAAAGGAAGCUCUUUCUCUCUGAUGUCUGUCUUCUUAAUUGUCCGCCCCCCCCGGGCCCCGGGCAUGCUGCUGGGCCAGAGCACCUGCUGCCGUGGCUCUUGGCACAGGGUCUUUUUACUGAAGACUCCCGUGGAAGACAACAGAACACAAAUUUCCGUCAGCCUACAGCUUUUUAAAAAUUUUUUUGUAUUAUACUUUAGGUUCUGGGGUACAUGUGCAGAUCACGCAGGGUUGUUACACAGGUAUACAUAUGCCAUGGCAGUUUGCUGCAUCCAUCCCCCCGUCAUCUACAUUAGGUAUUUCUCCUAAUGUUAUCCCUCUCCAAUACUCCCACCCCUGCUAUCCCUCCUCUAACUCCACAACCCCCCAGCCUAGAGCUUUUCUUAAAGACCAAGUGAUAAAACACUUGAAUUAAAUAAGUUUUCCUCACAGGAAAAUCUCACACACCUCUACCCACCUAAAACUCAAAUGAAGCAAGUUCAUCAACUUCUUGUUUCCUUAUAGAUAUUUCUAGAAUAGAGUUUAAUGAGUGUCAUAAUAUCUCACACAUAUUUUCAAGCAAAAGGAACGUUAUAUCACCAAUACACCUCGAGGGUCAAUAAGAACGAUCACUUACGAAGAUGGAAAUUUCUCCAUGUAAAACGGAACAGCAAAUACCAUCUUGCCACAGCGCAUCUCUUCCCAGAACCACCCGUGCACUUUCCUGGUGCUCCCUGCCCACAAAUGGGAGACACAAACUAAGAUGCCUCAGGAGGAACAUCACGGUGUGAACUCUGAAGUUACAGGAGACACAGAAUUGCGGGGCAGCUGCGGAUGCGAGAGCACUUAUUCCUCUAAAAGUUGUUUAAAUUUUCUCUUUUUAUUUUUUAUUUUAUUAAUAAUUUUUAUCUGUUGCCCAGACUGGAGUGCAGUGGUGUGAUCUCCGCUCACUGUAACCUCGACUUCCUGGGCUCAAUUGAUCCUCCUGCCUCAACCUCCUGAGCAGCUGAGACCACAGGUCCACGCCACCAUGCCUGGCCAAUUUUUGUAGUUUUUAUAGACAUGGAGUUUUGCCAUGUUGCCCAGGCUGGUCUCCAACUCCUGGGCUCAAAUGAUCCGCCUGCCUGCACUUCCCAAAGUGCUGGGAUUACAGGAGUGAGCCACCACCCUAGCCUCCAUUUUUUCUCCCGAUUUAAAGGACUAUGACACUCCCAAGUGUGCGUGUGCACACACACACACACACACUCUCUCUCUCUCUCUCAUACACACACACACACACAGACACACACUGAUGGCCUAAAUUCUUGCCGUCACCCACACAUAUCAGGUAUUCCUUUAUAGCAAUGUACAAAAAUGGCCUAAUAUAUGCAGCAAAGGGUGUUAUAAGAAAAUUGCCUUCCCUUCGGAGGGGAUAGUCAUCCCUGUGUGUGCUGCCUAGACCUGGGUAUUCAACACACAGCGCAUACGCUCCCUGAGUCUGUCAUAUACCAUGGCAGAGGCCACUUAAACUCAUGCCAUAUAGUGUGAGUUUAAAUGUCCAGAGUUCAAUGUAGACAUGCUGAGAGCUUCUGAGAGUCAUUUUCCUGAAUGCAGGAUGCAUGGUUCAUGGGCUUACUCAAUUAAAAGAAAAAGAAACAGCUUAUAUGUUCAGAUAAUGCAGGUUCUCUCUCCUGCGGCUUCUGCGAAUAAAAGUUUUGGUGAAGACAGACUCACACUCUGGAACAGAGGCCUGGCCCACUUGCCUUAGGAUGCUGGCAAAGCUCAUGCUUCUUGUUCUGUCAGGUCCCGUUUCAGAAAUUGCCUCUGCAAGUCUAACACAUUUAAUUGAGAGAGUGGAGAGGGGGGCAUUCAAAAAGAUUACAGAGGAAGGUGAGGCAUUUGUCCAAUCGGUUCCACUUCCAGGGGCCCUCCGUUGUUCUUGGAGGGGAGCCAGGCCUGUAACUGGGGUAUUUUGCAUCUGUUUAUCCUUUUAGUCAAAUGCCUUUUGUCUAAGCCGUUGACUUUGGAGCAAAAAUGUACUGACCUUCACAGACCGUUCUCAAACCUGGGAUAAAAGAAACUCAUUUUUUUUCCUCAAAGAAUGAACUUAGAAAAUCCACCUCCUCCCUCAUCCCUUUUGCCAGAGACGCCCACUAGGGGCUGUUGCUAAAAAGAGUGGCCCAAUUCAACGGAGGUGCCUAGCUCAAGCCACACGCAAGUUCAGACCGCCUUUCGGGGGGAGUGUUAUCAAUAGUUUAUUCAAUGGUGCUAACCUCAUUGCAUCAUGGGACUUGAACUUGCCAAUGUGACAGGAAGCUGGGAGUCUAAACCCCAGUGCAUUCUACGUAGUGUCAGCAUAGCUACUGCGUAUUGGAUACCCACUACAUGUCAGUUGCUGCUGUGAAUUUUGUACAAGCCCAGAAACAAUCCUGCAAGGAUUUUUAUCCUUAUGAGUAAACUAAGCCUCAAAGGAGCUGUGUAACUGAUCCAGGAUCACAGCCAGCACAUGUCCAAACCAAGGCCUGAACCCAGGACACCUGUGCACCCUCUGCUUUCAUCUGCCUGUCACGUGAAGCACAUGCUGGGCACCUCCUCUUUGCCAGGCUCUGUGCCACCUGCCGGAGCAUCCAAGAUCAACCAGGCAGGCCAGAUCUCUCAGAAAGUUCAGGCUUGAUGUGAGUGCUCACAGAAGCAGGACUUGAGACAGUGAUUGGUGACAAGUUGCUUAUUUGGAAGGUGACUCCAGAAAGCACUAGUGAGGGACUUGGAAUAGGAGACAGAGAGAUGGGAAAUUUGUGACAAAGGGUUACACCACCAAGCAAGAUACUUCAGAGAACAAUAGGCUCAGUCUUAGGAACUCUAGGAGGUGAUAUUCUGCACCCACAAAUCAGGUACUAGGGAGCUAGCGUGUUUAGCCACCAAUAUGCCAUCCAUCAGUAUUGAUGGUUUUUCCAAGGGCAUUGAAUGUAAAGCAUUUUUGUCUUCCCAUGUACGUGGGCAGUGCUCUUCCUUCCUAGAAAGAGUCCUCAGACAGACAUUAACUGCAAGCAGGCAAAGAGCUGGCAUUUUUUGAGCAUCUCCUGCAUGUCAGGCACAGGGCAUCUAUUUACCUACCUCAUAGGGAGACAGGCAGCAUGUAUUUACAAUAAUGGGUGCAGGUAUCUGGACUCCACAUUUAUAAACUGUGGGAUCUUGAACAGAUGGCUACAUCCAAUGUCUGCCGCAAGAAGGGAAUGGUGAUAAUGCCCACCCCAAAGAAUAAACCAUGGAUUGAACAAGAUUGUAUGUGUGUAAAGCAGUCAGGGUAAUAAUAUCUACAGCCUAGUGAGUUCUUAAAAGUGGUUCACACAUUUAUAAGCCAUAAAAUCCUUAGCUCGUUAAAUCCUUACAAUGACCUGUGGUGAAACAGAGUCCCAUGGAGGCUAAACGAUGUGCCUAGUAUCCUCAAGACCUCAAAAAGAAGUGAUCCAGGCUGGGCAUGGUGGCUCAUGCCUGUAAUCCCAGCACUUUGGGAGGCCGAGGUUGGCAGAUCACCUGAGGCCAGGAGUUUGAGACCAGCCUAAUCAACCCCAUCUACAUUAAAAAUGCAAAAAUUAGCUGGGCAUGGUGGGCAGUGUCUGUAAUCCCAGCUACUCAGGAGGCUGAGGCAGGAGAAUUGCUUGAACUUGGGAGGCGGAGGUUGCAAUGAGCCAAGAUUGUGCCAUGGCAAUGGAGUAAAACUCCUACUCAAAAAAAAAAACAAAAAAGAAAUGAUCCAGGUCUGUGUGACAACAGCUCCCGGAGGCCACACAGAGCUCCUUAGGGUGCAUGGCACCAUGAAAUUCAGUGUGAGUCCCUUUCUGCCAAUGCGUGCCUUCUCCCCACUCCAAGGAGUUCAUGGCUCAGAGAGAGCUCCUCGCCCGGCUGUCCAGCAUCUGUAUUGGAAGUGGUGAACUUCGUAGGUGAGUUCCCUUCCAGAUUUAUAAAAUAUCCAUUCCCCCAAGUGCUCGACAUGGAAACGUCAGAGAGUCAAAGACACUCGUUAAUGUUCAAUAUUUCUGUGAUUAACGUUUUAUUGGACGGUGGGCAAGAGAAAUGCUAUCCAGGCACAAAAGAAAUAAUUCAAAUAGGGGACAUUGUCUGUUGCAUAAAACCUCCAUUCAAAGAUUUUGUAAAAAUAUUUUAAAAGUGACUUUGGAAGGAAGCUUCAACCUGAGGAGAGGGAUCAAAUGUAGAAUUGAUGGCUUCAGGGUGGAAUUUUUCCCUUCAGUAACUCAGCCAUCCUGAUAGAGAUAAUGAUGUCCACCUGUCAAGGCGAGGAGGCAGGCGUGCUGCAGAGAAAGAUAUCGAGGACCUUCACAGAGCCUGCUCAACUCCGGAAGCUUUGUUAAGGGGCUGGGAGGGAAAGAGCAAUUGCCCUCCCUCUUGUCCUCCCCCCAGCCUCUUUCCCCAAGCCUGAGAGAGGACUGCAAGGCCACUGGUCCCCAGGAAGCUGAUGAGGAUGAGUCCUUCACGGUUCUCUAAGGCUUGUUAAUCACACCAGCUAGCACUCCUCUUCCUACGUGCCCACCACUGUGCAAAGAUCUCUACUUCAAUUAACUCAAGCUUCCCAGUGACCCCACCAUGUGGGUAUCAGCAUCCUUAUUUUACAGAUGAGGAAAGUGGAACCUGAGGAGCUCGGUCUUACUAAUCCACAGUCACUCAAUCAUGACCUGGCACACCGAGAGAGCCUGAGCCCUAAAUCACCAUGCCGCCCUGCUCCACACUCUGCAUCUCCUGUGACCCUCACCACAGGGCUGCGAGGAGAUGAAUUUUUUGGCUCAUUUCAGGCUCAGGUGAUCAGGACCAGAGAGAAGUAGUGACUUGUCCAAGGUCGCACAGCCAGUGCAUGGCUCAGCUAGAUCCUCAACCAGUGGCCUGACUGCCAACUGCGUCACCACUGGUGGACAGAUGGAGGGAUGGUUAGCCGAUUUUUCUUCCUUAAUGGUUCACUCGAUUACUGAAUAAGGUAUUCCAGUAGUUUUUGCUAUAAUGAGCUUUUUAUGUUUUAUACGACAGUGCUAAUAAGAGUAGUUUAAAUAGACUUGGAAGUUGUAUUAAUUCCAUCCUUUUUCUUUUAAAAAAAUGGAGCUAAAAAAUUAAGUCACCUGAAGAGAAAUGGAUAUUAUCAUUAUUACACACAGCAGGUAUAAAUAAAUCUGUAUGUGUGCCUAAACUUAC
Molecule: long non-coding RNA, 6908 nt
Organism: Callithrix jacchus (white-tufted-ear marmoset)
Lineage: Eukaryota; Metazoa; Chordata; Mammalia; Primates; Cebidae
Source: RefSeq, a predicted model, not a curated record